RNAcentral lists this ribosomal RNA (827 nucleotides) under Myxospora sp. 1 LL-2016. RNAcentral describes it as "eukaryotic LSU rRNA". It matches the Rfam family "Eukaryotic large subunit ribosomal RNA", at positions 74 to 935 of the family's 3401-position model. Lineage: Eukaryota; Fungi; Ascomycota; Sordariomycetes; Hypocreales; Stachybotryaceae. The record is from RNAcentral.
AUUGCCUCAGUAACGGCGAGUGAAGCGCCAACAGCUCAAAUUUGAAAUCUGGUCCCAGGCCCGAGUUGUAAUUUGCAGAGGAUGCUUUUGGCAAGGUGCCUUCCGAGUUCCCUGGAACGGGACGCCAUAGAGGGUGAGAGCCCCGUCUGGUCGGACACCAAGCCUAUGUAAAGCUCCUUCGACGAGUCGAGUAGUUUGGGAAUGCUGCUCUAAAUGGGAGGUAUAUGUCUUCUAAAGCUAAAUACCGGCCAGAGACCGAUAGCGCACAAGUAGAGUGAUCGAAAGAUGAAAAGCACUUUGAAAAGAGAGUUAAACAGCACGUGAAAUUGUUGAAAGGGAAGCGUUUAUGACCAGACUUGGCCCGGUUGAUCAUCCAGCGUUCUCGCUGGUGCACUCUGCCGGUCCAGGCCAGCAUCAGUUCGCUGCGGGGGAUAAAGGUUUCGGGAAUGUGGCUCCUCCGGGAGUGUUAUAGCCCGUUGCGUAAUACCCUGCGGUGGACUGAGGUCCGCGCUUCUGCAAGGAUGCUGGCGUAAUGGUCAUCAACGACCCGUCUUGAAACACGGACCAAGGAGUCGUCUUCGUAUGCGAGUGUUCGGGUGUAAAACCCCUACGCGUAAUGAAAGUGAACGCAGGUGAGAGCUUCGGCGCAUCAUCGACCGAUCCUGAUGUUCUCGGAUGGAUUUGAGUAAGAGCAUACGGGGCCGGACCCGAAAGAAGGUGAACUAUGCCUGUAUAGGGUGAAGCCAGAGGAAACUCUGGUGGAGGCUCGCAGCGGUUCUGACGUGCAAAUCGAUCGUCAAAUAUGGGCAUGGGGGCGAAAGACUAAU